UUGACCUCGGAUCAGGUAGGGAUACCCGCUGAACUUAAGCAUAUCAAUAAGC
Molecule: ribosomal RNA, 52 nt
Filed under: Aspergillus niger
Lineage: Eukaryota; Fungi; Ascomycota; Eurotiomycetes; Eurotiales; Aspergillaceae
Also listed under: 49 other names
Description: partial 28S ribosomal RNA
Source: RNAcentral